UACGGAGGAUGCAAGCGUUAUCCGGAUUUAUUAGGUUUAAAGGGUGCGUAGGCGGACUUGUAAGUCAGCGGUGAAAUACUACAGCUUAACUGUAGAACUGCCGUUGAUACUGUGAGUCUUGAGUAUAGUUGAGGUAGGCGGAAUGUGUAGUGUAGCGGUGAAAUGCUUAGAUAUUACACAGAACACCGAUUGCGAAGGCAGCUUACUAAGCUAUAACUGACGCUGAGGCACGAAAGCAUGGGGAGGCAAACAGGAUUA
Molecule: ribosomal RNA, 258 nt
Filed under: uncultured prokaryote
Description: partial 16S ribosomal RNA
Rfam family: Bacterial small subunit ribosomal RNA
Source: RNAcentral